CGAUUCCCUUAGUAACGGCGAUUGAAGAGGGACAAGCUCAAAGUGCUAAUCAGUGCAUUGCACUGAAUUGUGGCCUCUAGAAACGACACCAGUGGCAUUGCAGAGGUAAAUCUCCUGGAAAGGAGUAGCAGAGAGGGUGAGACUCCCGUCUUUACUCUGCAGUGUGCCGCGUAUCGGUGCGUUUUCUCUGAGUCGAGUAGCUUGGGACUGCUGCUCAAAAUUGGUGGUAAACUUCAUCUAAAGCUAAACAUUGGUG
RNAcentral lists this ribosomal RNA (256 nucleotides) under uncultured Phaeocystis. RNAcentral's name for it is "partial Eukaryotic large subunit ribosomal RNA". It matches the Rfam family "Eukaryotic large subunit ribosomal RNA", at positions 72 to 328 of the family's 3401-position model. The record is from RNAcentral. Lineage: Eukaryota; Haptophyta; Phaeocystales; Phaeocystaceae.